This 225-nucleotide unclassified non-coding RNA is filed under the name Oryza sativa (Asian cultivated rice). RNAcentral's name for it is "partial microRNA MIR498b precursor". Lineage: Eukaryota; Viridiplantae; Streptophyta; Magnoliopsida; Poales; Poaceae. The record is from RNAcentral.
GUCCGUGCUACAGCUGGCUACAAAUCUGUAGCCCGCUGCCCUUCUCUCUCCUCUUCUAUCUUAUUAAAAUAUGUUUGCAGCUGGCUUAUAGCCUACUAUUGUACCUGCUCUUAAUAGCAAGUAUAAUAGGAGGCUAUAAAUCGGCUAAAUUCUAAUAUGGAGAAGAGAAAAGAGUAGAGAGAUGGGAAACGGGCUAUAAACUUACAGCUGGCUUAGACGCGAGAC